Molecule: ribosomal RNA, 538 nt
Filed under: Lentinus cartilagineus
Lineage: Eukaryota; Fungi; Basidiomycota; Agaricomycetes; Polyporales; Polyporaceae
Also listed under: 2 other names
Description: eukaryotic LSU rRNA
Rfam family: Eukaryotic large subunit ribosomal RNA
Source: RNAcentral
GGAGGAAAAGAAACUAACAAGGAUUCCCCUAGUAACUGCGAGUGAAGCGGGAAAAGCUCAAAUUUAAAAUCUGGUAGUCUUUGGCUGCCCGAGUUGUAAUCUAGAGAAGCAUUAUCCGCGCUGGACCGUGUACAAGUGUCCUGGAAUGGACUAUCAUAGAGGGUGAGAAUCCCGUCUUUGACACGGACUCCCAGGGCUUUGUGAUGUGCUCUCAAAGAGUCGAGUUGUUUGGGAAUGCAGCUCUAAAUGGGUGGUAAAUUCCAUCUAAAGCUAAAUAUUGGCGAGAGACCGAUAGCGAACAAGUACCGUGAGGGAAAGAUGAAAAGAACUUUGGAAAGAGAGUUAAACAGUACGUGAAAUUGCUGAAAGGGAAACGCUUGAAGUCAGUCGCGUUGGCUGGGAAUCAACCUUGCUUCUUGCUUGGCUUACUUCCCAGUUGACGGGUCAGCAUCAGUUUUGACCAGUGGAUAAAGGUUAGGGGAAUGUGGCACCUCCGGGUGUGUUAUAGCCCUUGAUCAUAUACAUUGGUUGGGACUGA